CGGCGUGUUGUAUUUGGGUUUGAAAAGCAUAGAUUUUGACAAGUAUUUAUUUGUUUCUUUGUAGUUAGUGUAAGAGAAAUAAACACGGCACCUAACCAUGUUUCGUUACAAAGUGUCCAGAAAAUCAAACAUGUUACAUCAUCGUAUUUCGUUAAAAAGUUAUCCAUAAGAUAAAAUUUGAUAUACAUUCAAUUUCUUGUAUGCAUUCACUCGUGAUCAGCAAGGACGGUCUAGGUCCUAUGUUCUAAACAAAAUUAAGGUUAUGCUCUCCAACUUAGAGGAACUGCGACAGUAUUCACUCAGUUUUGGAAAACUGUUGGAUAGUGACCAUAAAGUUCAAGGAGGGUCUCAUAACUUAGCGACACUGAAAGGUAUUGUCAUAAAUCAAAGAGUCUAUUAUCAUCGUCUAUGUCUAGCAGUUUUGUUCAUUUGAAAAGCUUAGAUAUCAGUAUAUGUGAUGUCAUGGAAGAGGCAGUUUCCAUUGACAGAUCAGAAGGUCGAGGAAGGAUUGGAUAUAUUUUGUUAACUAAACUUGAAUCUCUUAAGCUACAUGGAGUAUUUGCAAAUCUUAAAAGAUUUUGUCAAGGAGAUUAUACUGAUUACCCAUUAUUGAAUACUCGAACAAGUGACAAUGGGAAAAUGUAUGAUGAAGUUGAAGAAAUGGACAUGGUCAUGUGGUAAACAACUUCUCUUCAAUUAUAAUGUGAUCAUUAAAUGGACUUGUUUUUCUUGCUUAUUUAUUAUUCUUUUUUUGGUAUUGUACAUUCUUAUUUAUUAAAGGAAAAAAUAUGAGAAAUGUGUGCAUACAUGCAGGUUAUUCUCUCAAACUUUAAGCAAUUGCAAUUACACACACUCAACGUUAAAACAGCAUGGGAUAUUGACAAGUCUAAAGGAAGAUGGUUUCAUAACUUGACAACGUUGGAAGUGCUUUAUUGUUGUAGAUUGAAGACUGUGAUGUCAUCAUCUAUGGCUACAAGUCUUGUGCAUCUGAAAAUUAUGAGAAUAGAUUAUUGUGAUGCAGUUGAAAAGGUAAUCACAGACGAAUCAGGAGAAAGAAGGUUGGGAAAAAUUUUGUUUCCUAAUGUUAAAACUCUGGAGCUGAAAUGGCUUAAGAAAAUCAAAUGGUUUUAUACAGGAGAUUAUAUUGAAUGUCCAUCUUUGGUUUAUCUUGGAAUAAAUAAAUGGCAGUGAGAACAUGAAAACCUUCAUAAACAAUGUCGACUUGGUGGGGAAAACGACAAUCUUUCUUCAGCCAAAACAUGACUUUCCUAAUUUUCGUUUCAUGAUUCCUCUGUUUUGCAUAUUUGUCUAUCGAAUGUUAAAGUAUUUAGAUUGUUUAAAUUAAAUUGUUUCAUUCUUAACCGUAUGUCUAAAAGUGCUAAGAGUUUAUUUUGAUGACCAGGUGGUCAUGCCUCUAACAAGUUAGCCGUACCAAGUAUUAAAGGGAAUAAAUUUUUGAGUAAGAUAUGGGAUGAUGAAGAACAACUUAAGUCACUCACAAAUUUAAGAUAGUUGAGUUUGAUAAAUCUUCCAGAGUUGAUGAAUCUGUGUAAAGACAGCGUAGCCCAACCAUCCAAAUUACAAGCCUUUGAAGCUGUGGAAACUCUGCGUGUUUAUAAAUGUUUUAAACUAAACUCUCUAAUGAUGACUUCCUCAAUGACUUUUGGAAAUCUGAAAUGCUUGCUUGUUUCAGAAUGUCAUUCAUUGACAAAUACAAUGGCUUCUUCAACUGCAAAAAGUCUAAAACAACUCAGGAAAAUGAACAUAUCUCAUUGUGAUGGAAUGACAGCAAUUAUCAGCCAGGAAAAAGAAUUUGAAGACGAAGAUGAAGAUCAAAAUGAGGUUGCUUUCAGCAAAUUGUAUGGUAUUCUACUUUUUCAAAUGCACAAUCUGAAAAGCUUCUGUAAUGGGAAAAAUGCUAUAAGCUUUCCAAGUUUGGACAUAUUACUGGCAAAUCGAUGCAACAGAAUGAAAAGCUUUUGUGGCGGUACUGUUACAUCCCCAUUAUCUUUAAAGUAGUAGAAUACAUUGGUUGGGAUGAAACGACUAUGAAUCAAUAUUUUGUAGGAGACAGAGGUACAGUUGAAUAUCAGCUUUUGAAGGGUGAUGUUAAUGCAACUUUUUCUAAGUUUUAUGAAGACAAUCCAGACCAUUGUCGGAAGUCGGAGUGAGUCUAUAUUGGAUUUCCAAAUUGUUUUCCUCUCUCAAUAGAAGUCUGCAAAAUUUGAAGUUUUGGACCGGAUCUAGGUCAGGUGAUUGAUAGGAUGAGAAGAAAUGGUUGCUUGUCCUGCAUAAAUUGCACGUUAAUGUGGGAGUAGAUCCUUCAGUUUCUCGAGAUAUUGGGCUGAACCGACUUGGACCUACAAAUUCAGUUCAGGGCUUCAUGUCUAGCCCAAAGGGGAAUAAGGCCAUGAAGCCGAGAACAAGGCCAGGUUUCAGGCUUGGGCUGCAAGGGAACAAACAAAGAAAAAAGAAAAAUCAAAAAAAAAAUUAUUAUGAAUAUAUAUAUAUAUAUAUAUAUAUAUAUAUAACGAAAGUAGGGAUAAGUAAGCAAACAUAAAGAUCGCAAAAGUCAGGUCUAAAAACAAAAACAAAAAAGAAAAGCAAAAAGGAAAGCAAAAAGAAAAAAGAAUAAAGAAUGAAGAAUGAAAUGGCAUGUACUUUAUCAAUUUGAAUGAUUAUUUGAUUACUCAGAGCUUGUAUGGGAAAGCAAAAGACAAUGCUGGAAACAAUAUGCAGCAAUUAGCGGUUGUUUGAGUACUUACUAUCGCAAUUUGCUUCGUCUCGGGUGGUUUUUAUUUAUUUAAUUUUUUUUUUAAUAAUAAUAUGCAUAUGUAUGGGUUUAGAUUUAA
RNA transcript from Ziziphus jujuba (common jujube), 2852 nucleotides. RefSeq lists it as uncharacterized. Lineage: Eukaryota; Viridiplantae; Streptophyta; Magnoliopsida; Rosales; Rhamnaceae. The record is from RefSeq and is a predicted model, not a curated record. The transcript is spliced from 4 exons.